Molecule: transfer RNA, 71 nt
Filed under: Agathobacter rectalis M104/1
Lineage: Bacteria; Bacillati; Bacillota; Clostridia; Lachnospirales; Lachnospiraceae
Description: tRNA-Trp (CCA) (tRNA-Trp-CCA-2-1)
Rfam family: tRNA
About the family: Transfer RNA (tRNA) molecules are approximately 80 nucleotides in length. Their secondary structure includes four short double-helical elements and three loops (D, anti-codon, and T loops).
Source: RNAcentral
AGAAUGGUGGUGUAAUGGUAGCACGACAGUCUCCAAAACUGUAAAUCAUGGUUCGAUCCCAUGUCAUUCUG